RNAcentral lists this ribosomal RNA (328 nucleotides) under uncultured eukaryote. RNAcentral describes it as "partial 18S ribosomal RNA". It matches the Rfam family "Eukaryotic small subunit ribosomal RNA", at positions 1470 to 1796 of the family's 1831-position model. The record is from RNAcentral.
CCCUUAGACGUUCUGGGCCGCACGCGCGCUACACUGACCAGUGCAACAAGCAUCCGUCCUUGGCCGACAGGCCCGGGCAAUCUUUGAACGCUGGUCGUGAUGGGGAUAGACUUUUGCAAUUUUUGGUCUUCAACGAGGAAUUCCUAGUAAACGCAAGUCAUCAACUUGCAUUGAUUACGUCCCUGCCCUUUGUACACACCGCCCGUCGCACCUACCGAUUGAAUGGUCCGGUGAAAUCUUCGGAUUGAGACUUUGGUUUCUUCACGGAAAACGCUGUUUUAAAAAGUUGAUUAAACCUUACCAUUUAGAGGAAGGUGAAGUCGUAACA